RNAcentral lists this long non-coding RNA (389 nucleotides) under Salvia miltiorrhiza (redroot sage). Its description in RNAcentral is "long non-coding RNA (SMIL_LNC003870)". The record is from RNAcentral. Lineage: Eukaryota; Viridiplantae; Streptophyta; Magnoliopsida; Lamiales; Lamiaceae.
UAAAAGAUAGUGGUCGUUGGAUGAAGAUAAUCUAAAGGUGCAUAUUCAUUCUCAAUUCUAACAACAUAUAGCAUUCUCAAUUGAACCUUUUCCUAUAUAUAUAUAUGGUGUGGUUCUAGAGAGAACUACAUUAUUUGUGAGAACGGGAGAACCAUCAAAUCUAAUGCAUUCACUGUAAAAAUUAAUGCAUCCGCUGUUAAAAUUAAUGCACUCAAAAAAAUAAAAAAAAAUGCUCCCUUCAGGAUUCGAACCCAGGAUCUGCAUUCAUCCAACAAGAUGAUGCAUCCACCGUAGAUCUUGAUGAUCGAAUGGCUGAAAAUGGUUCUCCGGUCUUCUUUUAUUUAUGGUUCUUUCCUGAACCUCUCCCUAUAUAUAUAUAUAUAUAUAUA